GUGACUGCUAUUAGAGCAGGGGUUUUAUCUGGUUUGUUCGCUGAUGAAUUCUCAGUGUCCACAAUAGUACCCGCCCAAUAGUGGGCAUUCUUGGUGAGAUGGUGAAGCGAAGUGGGAUGACUGUUGAGGGACGUGUUGAGGCAUAUCAUACAUGUUGAUAUGCCUCUCUUUUGAGAGCCAGGGCUGAUUCAUCACCCAGAAAGCAUUUGGCUCAGUACUGGCCACCUUCCUGAUGAAUUGUACAUGAUGGAGCCUUCAGGCUACCACAGCUGCUGAGGGUCAUUCAUCUGGUGGAAUUUGCCUUGUUGCAACUGCGAGCCAGCUGGACCGAAAAUGAAGUCCAGGGCUGUGUGAAUUCCUGUGAAGUCUACUCCCGCUCACCCAGGAUAUCCGUUGGCUGCUUUACUGAGGCUGUUGUAACUGUGCUGUGCCAAAUCUCAGGCCCUACCACAGCUGGACGAAGGUCUUUGUGGUACUUCCCUUCCUCAGAUGGCAAAAGGGAACACACGGAAUGAGGAGUACGUGACUGGCUUAGCUUGGGUCAUUCGCCUGCUCCUCAGACUGUGUCCAGAAGUAACUAACUCCUCCAAGGGAAAGAAUAUUCAGUAACCAAAGGAAAUAGAAUGAAUGCAAAGCAGUCCAAACAACCAAUGUUCACUCCCAUCUUUCACAGAGAUUCUACUUUUGAGCUUGAGAAGGCUCACCACAUGGCUGUCUAAUGAGGAAAUUGCCACAGGGAUGUCAGUGGCAGUCACACCCCUUUGCCACUGCAGGACCAUCUAUGGAAGGAUCAAUUUUUUUUAGCAAAAGUUAGUGUAUUGCGGUGGUUCUCAAAGUGUUGUUCUUGAGCAGCAUCUGCAUCACCCGGGAACUUAUUAGAAAUGAAAAUUCUGGAGAUCCUCCCCAGACCUCCUGAAUCAAAACUGCAAGUAAGCCAAGGAGCUUGUGGCCUUUCUCUCACCCUUAACACCUCAAGAAAUCAGAUUGGACACCUGAAUCAGCUAAGCUCAUAAGGAGACACCACUCGGGAGCCUUCUAAAUGCUGUCUUUGGGGUCCAUGCUGAAGGAGAGCUUCAGAGGCAAAACAUUUUACAGAAGAGGCCUUUUGGAAUUUUGCUCAGUCUCCUACUUUAGAUGGGAUUCAAGGAGCCAGACCUUGAUGUGACUUUUUCCCUCCAGGUAUCUUUAUGAUGUUGAGGUUUCAUCACAUGUUGGUGGUUUCCUUUAAUCUGUCUGGGGAUUUAGGAGGGGUUGGAAACCCCAGCCGAGCUACUUUUAGGAACAAACGUACAAUAUAAUAAC
This is a long non-coding RNA of Pteropus alecto (black flying fox), 1302 nucleotides long. RefSeq lists it as uncharacterized. The record is from RefSeq and is a predicted model, not a curated record. NCBI's taxonomy places the organism in Eukaryota, Metazoa, Chordata, Mammalia, Chiroptera, Pteropodidae. The transcript is spliced from 7 exons.